AAUCGGCGUACAGCACAGGGGACGUGUCCCCGGAGCGGUGCCGAGGGAGGCAAGCCCCAGCAACAGCAUCCAUGAAGGGUGGAAAGCUGAAAAAUCACGCGUCGGGUGGAGUUUGGUAGGACGGUAACGUCUCGAAGAAGUCAGGCCCG
RNAcentral lists this non-coding RNA (149 nucleotides) under Bacteroides fragilis 3_1_12. RNAcentral describes it as "RT-3 RNA". It matches the Rfam family "RT-3 RNA". The record is from Rfam by way of RNAcentral. Lineage: Bacteria; Pseudomonadati; Bacteroidota; Bacteroidia; Bacteroidales; Bacteroidaceae.